This 66-nucleotide transfer RNA is filed under the name Carcinus maenas (green crab). RNAcentral's name for it is "tRNA-Trp". Lineage: Eukaryota; Metazoa; Arthropoda; Malacostraca; Decapoda; Carcinidae. The record is from RNAcentral.
AGAACUUUAAGUUAAAAAAACUAAGGGCCUUCAAAGCCUUAAAUAAAAGACUACUUUUAAGUUCUA